CUGCUGGCGGGGAGCGGGGUGGCACCGGAGGGAUGGCCCGCAGGUGGGGGCAGUGACAGCGGCGUGUCGGUGGGGCCUCUGCCCUGCAGCUCCUGGCUGUGCCUCGGCGGUAGCCAUCGCCUAGGGGGUGGUAACAUCCGAAAUAGCGAGUGUCCAAAAGCAGCGUUUAAAGGUUGGGUUUUUUAUAGGUUGUAAGUGUCCCAUUGGACGUGAAGAGAUCAACCAUUGCGGUCCCAUGGCCCUUACUGCUGUCUCCUGCUGUCCUAGCUAGGAUACAAAGUAUAAAUCCUUACAAAUGAUGUUAGAAGAGUCAUUCUUCCCAAGAUGAUUAUUCAAAGAAUUUUGAACAUCUGAAUAGAUGACUGCACCAGGAAUGAUUGUAGAGAGAAGCUAUACCUGCAGUUUUACCAACAGAUGCGGAAAGAAUGAGACACCUUCUGACUGUCAUUGUUGCCAUCAGCAAGGAGCGAAACACCUGCUAAAGGAUUUGGACUUCUGGGAUAUUCUUGACAUCAACCUGCAAAAUGGCCACUGCUUGGAGGGACGCCUGGCCUUUUGCCAGUGCCAGCUGUUCAUGUUAAACCAGUACAGCACCAAUGGAGAGCUUAAUUAAGAAGACACUGCUGACAUAACUGGCAAUAGUGGAAGUCCUGUAACCACACAUGCAUCGCACCUUCUCUCGUGCUCCAGCCCAUGAGAACUUCUGAAAAAUUUAAGAAGGCUUUUCUAUUAAAACAAAUGUUCAUGAAUGUCAGUGUUGUACCUUGGUAAUUUUAAAUUAGAAGGUGCUAAACAGUCACAAAAUAAAGUUACCUGUUUUACACAGUUGUCACCAGUUUCACUUUGUGGUUGAACUUUAUCUGGCUAUUCAAGUUAGAAUGGGCAGAUCUGGUCAGACCUGGCUUUCAGUGCAUGUUUGAUGGGAUGGAUGGAAUUCUCUAAAUUCAUGGCAAGUCUGUCAGUUAUUUUGGCAUUUUACCUUAAUGAGAGAUGAAGGUAAAAGGACUGACCUUAGCUUCAACCAGAAUUGUUGAUGUUACUUGCUCACCUAAUAACUGACAGCUUUGAAACCGUUUUAUAUUGAAUUCCUGAAUAUUGAAUUUGCUUGGGAUUUUUUGUAUUUUCAACUGUUGUAACUUCAAGUUAUAAUGGAAGUGAAAACAAUGGAAAAAUUAAGGAAAAUAUUGAAAUAAUUGCAGUUAGAAAAGCAGUCCAGUAAAUUAAUGUGAAAAACCA
RNAcentral lists this long non-coding RNA (1236 nucleotides) under Aquila chrysaetos chrysaetos. RNAcentral describes it as "lncRNA (ENSACCG00020002565.1)". The record is from RNAcentral. Lineage: Eukaryota; Metazoa; Chordata; Aves; Accipitriformes; Accipitridae.